CUCUAUGAGAUUUAUCUCUCUCCCACCUUCAACUAAAACAUUCAGAACUCAAUCAAGAGCGAACCAGAACAUCCUCAAAAAAGCCCUAGCAUUUGCUCUCUCUUUUAUAGGGACGUGAAGCGCUCUAUUCGUUGUCUAGUGUAAUGGUGUUAUGCGAGGUAGCACCGACCAAGAAGAGUGCUCCGAUUCUGGUAGGGCUUUGUCCUCAUCUCUUCUACUCUCUCUCUCUCUGGUAUCUCUCUCCACCUAGGUAUGUUUUCUUAUAUUAGGGUUUUUGAAUGUCCUUCACUGUUUAUAUGCUGAAAUUUGGAUGAAGCAAAAUUGAAAGGGAAAGGAGUGAUCCUCUCAAAGUCGCUCUUCUCCCUCGGCUUGGAUUUGUGAGUUCUCCAUUUCUUUUAUAUUCUCUUAUACAAAUCAGAAACCCCACCCUAACACAGGUUCAGAUUCUGCAAGAAAUCUCUCUUGGAAAUCAAGAGAGAUUUCAGUUUAUUUAUUUAUUUUCUUAAUCAAGGCGAUUCAACAAAAUGGUAAAGCAUGGAUUUAACGGAAGCCCCAAUACCGAGUUUAGAGUCCGUAGGAUGUUCGGAGCUGUCUGUUAAGAUUGGAGGCCAAUCAGAACGCUGAGAAGGAGGGAGAUAUCCUUAUUGUCUUGAAUUCUUUGGCAAACAAUCCUGCCCUUUUAGGAAACUCCAUCUCAACGAGUUUUGAAGAUAUCUCUGUCCGCCCCUCAAAUUCAAAUUUGAAUGAUCAUGUGGCUAGAUUCGGGCCGGAUUCAGAAGUAGUGGAUAGUGAAGACCCAUCUGGUGAUGAGAGUUCGUCUGAUUUCACAGGGAACUCGGAGGAAAACGAGAUGGAGGAGGACGUUUUUGUUGUCAGGGAAUUGCCACCCAGGCCAAUAAGAAAGGGCGUGUCCACCAGAGGUCGUGGAGUUUUGUCUUUGAUGAGGGGAGGUAGAAUCGCUUCUUCCACUCAAGCCUCGCCAUAGAAUGGGGGUUCGCAGCUCGCUAGCUUCCUUGUCUCAUCCAGAAGGGAUGGUAGAGCUGCUUUGCAUUAUCAGGAGAUGGAGAAGAUAGACUAUGCUCUCUAUGCCCGUGAAAAGGGAAUUGCUGGCUCUUCUAAAGGAGGCAACCAAAAAAGGAAAAAAGCAGGUCAGACUAAUAAGUCUGGCAACACCAAUUAAUUCAUUGUUUCCAAUGAAAGUCCUCUUUUGGAAUAUCAGAGGUGCGAAGAAGGUUACUGGUUUGAGAGCCUUAUCAUUUUUUCUUUGAGAACAUUCUCCUGAUGUUGUUUGCGUGGCAGAGCCAAUGAUCAGUGAAAGUAAAUUGCCCUUUUUGUUCUUUAACAAAUUGGGGUUCGAGGCUGAUUUCAUUCACAACCUCCGUGUGGACAAGGUCCCUAAUCUAUGGGUCAUUUGGAAGCAAGGAAUGUCUCGCCCCUCGGCCAUCUCGGUGUCUAAUCAACAAUUAUCAAUCACAGUGGAUUGGUUAGGGAACAGUGUGGGUUUGACCUUUGUGCAUGCGAACUGUUUUAAGGUGAAACAUAGAGAGCUUUGGAUAGAGCUGGGUUUGGUGGUGAAUCCUAUUCUUCCUUGGUCAGUGAUAGGUGAUUUCAAUGCUACUCUUCUUUCCAACGAAAAAAGGGGUCCAGGGAGAUUUAAUGCAAGCUCUGUUGCAGAGUUCCAAUCUAUGGUGGAUACUUGUAUGUUGGUGCAAGUGCCCUCGUAGGGCAAGAAGUUUACCUGGACUAACAACCGCCGGCGAGGUAAUGUAGCUGUGGACCUCGAUCGAAACUUCUGCAACAGUAAAUGGCUGGAUAUGUUUAAAAAUAUUCUCCAACGGGUUCUCCUAAGAUCCUCCUCUAAUCAUGCUCCCAUUCUGGUUGUAUCAGAUGCGAUCCCCAGACCAGGUAAUAUCCCUUUUAGAUUUAAUAAUUUUUGGAUGGAGCAUGAACACUUUGAUAAUGUAAUUCAGGAUGUGUGGAACAAGGAAAUAUCUGAAAAUCCUAUUCAUAUUCUUUCUCAGAAACUUAAGCAGGUUAAGUUGUUUAUCCAGCCUUGGGCAAGGAAUAAUUUUCCUAACAUUAAUGAAGAAGUAAAGAAAGCUUCCGAUCACCUGAAUUCAGUUCAUAAAGAAAUUGAGGCUCCAGGGAUGUCCAAUGAUCUUUUUGGCCGCGAGGUAGAUGCCAAAAUGGCUCUAUUGAAAACCACCUAGUUGCAGGACAAUCUAUGGGCUAAAAAAUCAAAGCAGAGGUGGAUGAAAGACGAGGACAAAAAUUCAAAGUUCUUCCACCUAUCAGUAAAAAUGCAACGGGCUCGCAAUCAAAUUCGCACUUUGCAGAAUGCUGAUGGGGAGUGGAUGAACAACCAGUAGCAAUUGUCUUCAUAUAUUUCCAAUUAUUAUGAAGAGUUUCACAGCUUAUCCCACACUUCACCUCACCCUGAGUUGUUGGAUUGUAUUCCCUGCGUGAUUUCGGACGAUGAUGUUCUUUAUUUGGAGGCUAAACCAUCUUCAAAGGAAAUAAAAAAAGUGGUUUGGGAUUUGGACCCAGAUAGCUCCCCUGGAACUGAUGGCUUCUCAAGGAAAUUCUUUAGGCGGGUAUGGCAUAUUGUUGAGGGUGAUUUUUGAAGGGCGGUAGCGUAUUUCUUCAGAUGGGGAGUCAUUCCAAAGGGUGUGACUAAUUUUUUUCUCACUCUUAUCCCCAAGGUGGUGGGGGCUACUACUCUCGACAAGUAUAGGCCUAUUUGCAUGGAAAAUUACUUCUGCAAGGUGUUACCAAAGAUCAUGGCAAGUAGAGUUGCAAUCCUCCUUCCCAGGCUGAUUUCGGAGGAACAAGGGGCAUUCCAAAGGGGGAAGAUAAUAUCAGAAAAGAUUAGCCUUGCUUCAAAAUUGGCUAAUCUGAUGUAUACCACUGUUAGAGGAGGCGGGAUGGGUCUCAAGGUUGAUGUACAGAAAGCCUACGAUUUCCUAUCUUGGGAAUUUCUCUUUGCCAUACUUGGGAAGUUCGGAUUUCCUCGGAAAUGGAUUUCUUGGAUCCAAGAAAUUCUCUCAUCUUCAAGGAUUUUGAUUUUAACAAAUGGAGGUCCAGUGGGGUUUUUUGGUGUGGGCCGUGGUCUUUGUCAAGGUGAUCCGCUAUCUCCCAUUUUGUUUAUUUUAGCUGAGAAAAUGCUCUGCAGAGGAUUAAAUAAAAUGAUCUCAGAAGGAUCCAUAAAGUCACUGUCGGGUCCAAGAGGUGCCUGUACCCCAACUCAUUUACUAUUUGCAGACGGUAUUUCCAUUUUCAUGAAUGCGUCAAGUAAGUAUGUUAAAAAUCUGCAUUUAUUUUUAUCAAAGUAUCAAGAGUGCUCCGACCAACAUUUUAAUCUCGACAAGAGCAAAGCCUUCUUUAGGAAGGUCGCCCCCCACAGGAAACACUUUAUUAGUAAUUUUCUGGGAAUUCAGACCUCAAAAUUUCCUACAAGGUACUUGGGUGUGGAGAUCUUCAAGGGAAGAGUGAAGAAAAAUCACCUCUUACCUUUGAUGGAUAAGAUUAAAUGCAGAUUGACCUCCUAGAAAGAGGAGCUUCUCUCUAUGGCUAGUCGCGUGGAGUUGGUUCGAUCAGUAAUUUCAAGCAUCCCUAUCCAUAUUUUUGCGGUUUAUUGGUGGCCUCAGUCCAUUAUUAAAACUGUAGAGCAGUGGAUGAGAAACUUUAUCUGGUCGGGUCAAAUGGCGGUGCAGAAAAAAAUUGUGAUUAAAUGGGAGGACAGUUUUAAGCCCAAGGACGAGGGAGGCUUGGGUAUCAGAAAAUUGAAAGACGUGAAUAAAGCUUGUUUAAGCAAGUUUGCCUGGCAGAUCAAACAUGAAUACAAUAUUAUGAGAAAAGUUUUUAGAGCAAGGUUUGUUCAGAAAGACAGCUCUCUUAGGAAGGGAUACAAGUCUUCCUCCAUUUGUCCAAGGCUGAAGAGGGUGUGGCAAUUUGUGUC
Molecule: long non-coding RNA, 3958 nt
Organism: Macadamia integrifolia
Lineage: Eukaryota; Viridiplantae; Streptophyta; Magnoliopsida; Proteales; Proteaceae
Exons: 3
Source: RefSeq, a predicted model, not a curated record